This 108-nucleotide small nucleolar RNA is filed under the name Sorghum bicolor (sorghum). RNAcentral's name for it is "snoRNA snoZ118". It matches the Rfam family "Small nucleolar RNA Z118/Z121/Z120". From Rfam's summary of the family: This family consists of several snoRNA Z118, Z121 and Z120 sequences which are members of the C/D class of snoRNA which contain the C (UGAUGA) and D (CUGA) box motifs. This family seems to be found exclusively in rice. Lineage: Eukaryota; Viridiplantae; Streptophyta; Magnoliopsida; Poales; Poaceae. The record is from Rfam by way of RNAcentral.
AGCUUAUGGUGAUGGCUUGUAUAAGGAGGUAUCUGAGCAAGGUGGCUCUCCAAUGGCUGGUCCUUGCAUGAUUACAUCCAAAAUUGAGGCUGGACAUCUGAGCAAACU